Molecule: ribosomal RNA, 112 nt
Filed under: Pogona vitticeps (central bearded dragon)
Lineage: Eukaryota; Metazoa; Chordata; Lepidosauria; Squamata; Agamidae
Source: RNAcentral
ACCAACUAUCUUGAAUGCACUGGUCUUGUCCUUUUUUUGGAAGCUAAACAGGCUUAAGCCUAGUUUGUACUGGGAUGGGAGACUGCUGGAGAAUAUCAGGGAUCUCCUGGUA